GACGAACGCUGGCGGCGUGCUUAACACAUGCAAGUCGAACGGAAAGGCCCUGCUUUUGUGGGGUGCUCGAGUGGCGAACGGGUGAGUAACACGUGAGUAACCUGCCCUUGACUUUGGGAUAACUUCAGGAAACUGGGGCCAAUACCGGAUAGGAGCUCCUGCUGCAUGGUGGGGGUUGGAAAGUUUCGGCGGUUGGGGAUGGACUCGCGGCUUAUCAGCUUGUUGGUGGGGUAGUGGCUUACCAAGGCUUUGACGGGUAGCCGGCCUGAGAGGGUGACCGGCCACAUUGGGACUGAGAUACGGCCCAGACUCCUACGGGAGGCAGCAGUGGGGAAUAUUGCACAAUGGGCGGAAGCCUGAUGCAGCAACGCCGCGUGCGGGAUGACGGCCUUCGGGUUGUAAACCGCUUUCGCCGGUGACGAAGCGUGAGUGACGGUAAUGGGUAAAGAAGCACCGGCUAACUACGUG
This 468-nucleotide ribosomal RNA is filed under the name uncultured bacterium. RNAcentral describes it as "partial 16S ribosomal RNA". It matches the Rfam family "Bacterial small subunit ribosomal RNA", at positions 28 to 507 of the family's 1533-position model. The record is from RNAcentral.